GACGAACGCUGGCGGCGUGCUUAACACAUGCAAGUCGAACGGUGAAGCGCCUUCCUUUUGGUGGGUGUGGAUGAGUGGCGAACGGGUGAGUAACACGUGAGUAACCUGCCCCCUUCUUCUGGAUAACCGCAUGAAAGUGUGGCUAAUACGGGAUAUUCUGGGUCUGUCGCAUGAUGGGUCUGGGAAAGAUAUUGUUUCGGUGGGGGAUGGGCUCGCGGCCUAUCAGCUUGUUGGUGGGGUGAUGGCCUACCAAGGCGGUGACGGGUAGCCGGCCUGAGAGGGUGGACGGUCACACUGGGACUGAGACACGGCCCAGACUCCUACGGGAGGCAGCAGUGGGGAAUAUUGCACAAUGGGCGCAAGCCUGAUGCAGCGACGCCGCGUGAGGGAUGGAGGCCUGCGGGUUGUGAACCUCUUUCGCCAGUGAAGCAGGCCUGCCUCGUUUGUGGGUGGGUUGACGGUAGCUGGAUAAGAAGCGCCGGCUAACUACGUG
This 493-nucleotide ribosomal RNA is filed under the name uncultured bacterium. Its description in RNAcentral is "partial 16S ribosomal RNA". It matches the Rfam family "Bacterial small subunit ribosomal RNA", at positions 28 to 507 of the family's 1533-position model. The record is from RNAcentral.